This 75-nucleotide transfer RNA is filed under the name Sediminicoccus rosea. RNAcentral describes it as "tRNA-Val". It matches the Rfam family "tRNA". From Rfam's summary of the family: Transfer RNA (tRNA) molecules are approximately 80 nucleotides in length. RNAcentral also lists the same sequence under 4 other names. The record is from RNAcentral. Lineage: Bacteria; Pseudomonadati; Pseudomonadota; Alphaproteobacteria; Acetobacterales; Roseomonadaceae.
GGGCGCGUAGCUCAGCGGUAGAGCACUGCCUUCACACGGCAGGGGCCACAGGUUCAAUCCCUGUCGCGCCCACCA